This 729-nucleotide ribosomal RNA is filed under the name uncultured eukaryote. RNAcentral describes it as "SSU rRNA". It matches the Rfam family "Eukaryotic small subunit ribosomal RNA", at positions 673 to 1426 of the family's 1831-position model. The record is from RNAcentral.
CGUGGCUACUGUGCGGCUGGGCACUUUGCCGUCUCUUCCCGCGGUGCUCUUCGCCGAGUGUCGCGGGUGGCCGGCACGUUUACUUUGAAAAAAUUAGAGUGCUCCAGGCAGGCCUAUGCUCGAAUACAUUAGCAUGGAAUAAUAAAAUAGGACGUGUGGUUCUAUUUUGUUGGUUUCUAGGACCGCCGUAAUGAUUAAUAGGGACAGUCGGGGGCAUCAGUAUUCAGUUGUCAGAGGUGAAAUUCUUAGAUCUACUGAAGACUAACUACUGCGAAAGCAUUUGCCAAGGAUGUUUUCAUUAAUCAGGAACGAAAGUUAGGGGAUCGAAGACGAUCAGAUACCGUCGUAGUCUUAACCAUAAACUAUGCCGACUAGGGAUCGGACGAUGUUAUUUUUUGACUCGUCCGGCACCUUACGAGAAAUCAAAGUGCUUGGGCUCCAGGGGGAGUAUGGUCGCAAGGCUGAAACUUAAAGAAAUUGACGGAAGGGCACCACCAGGGGUGGAGCCUGCGGCUUAAUUUGACUCAACACGGGGAAACUCACCAGGUCCAGACACAAUAAGGAUUGACAGAUUGAGAGCUCUUUCUUGAUUUUGUGGGUGGUGGUGCAUGGCCGUUCUUAGUUGGUGGAGUGAUUUGUCUGCUUAAUUGCGAUAACGAACGAGACCUUAACCUGCUAACUAGCCCGUAUUGCUCAGGCAGUACGCCGGCUUCUUAGAGGGACUAUCGG